GAUGAACGCUGGCGGCGUGCCUAAUACAUGCAAGUAGAACGCUGAAGCUUGGUGCUUGCACCGAGCGGAAGAGUUGCGAACGGGUGAGUAACGCGUAGGUAACCUGCCUCUUAGCGGGGGAUAACUAUUGGAAACGAUAGCUAAUACCGCAUAAAAGUCGACAUUGCAUGAUGUUGACUUGAAAGGUGCAAAUGCAUCACUAAGAGAUGGACCUGCGUUGUAUUAGCUAGUUGGUGAGGUAACGGCUCACCAAGGCGACGAUACAUAGCCGACCUGAGAGGGUGAUCGGCCACACUGGGACUGAGACACGGCCCAGACUCCUACGGGAGGCAGCAGUAGGGAAUCUUCGGCAAUGGACGGAAGUCUGACCGAGCAACGCCGCGUGAGUGAGGAAGGUUUUCGGAUCGUAAAGCUCUGUUGUAAGAGAAGAACGAGUGUGAGAGUGGAAAGUUCACACUGUGACGGUAACUUACCAGAAAGGGACGGCUAACUACGUGCCAGCAGCCGCGGUAAUACGUAGGUCCCGAGCGUUAUCCGGAUUUAUUGGGCGUAAAGCGAGCGCAGGCGGUUAGAUAAGUCUGAAGUUAAAGGCUGUGGCUUAACCAUAGUACGCUUUGGAAACUGUUUAACUUGAGUGCAGAAGGGGAGAGUGGAAUUCCAUGUGUAGCGGUGAAAUGCGUAGAUAUAUGGAGGAACACCGGUGGCGAAAGCGGCUCUCUGGUCUGUAACUGACGCUGAGGCUCGAAAGCGUGGGGAGCAGACAGG
RNAcentral lists this ribosomal RNA (765 nucleotides) under uncultured Streptococcus sp. RNAcentral's name for it is "bacterial SSU rRNA". It matches the Rfam family "Bacterial small subunit ribosomal RNA", at positions 28 to 776 of the family's 1533-position model. Lineage: Bacteria; Bacillati; Bacillota; Bacilli; Lactobacillales; Streptococcaceae. The record is from RNAcentral.